This 365-nucleotide ribosomal RNA is filed under the name uncultured eukaryote. RNAcentral's name for it is "partial 18S ribosomal RNA". It matches the Rfam family "Eukaryotic small subunit ribosomal RNA", at positions 592 to 976 of the family's 1831-position model. The record is from RNAcentral.
CAAUAGCGUAUAUUUAAGUUGUUGCAGUUAAAAAGCUCGUAGUCGGAUUUUGGCUGAGAACGAACGGUCCGCCGUUAGGUGUGCACUGUUUGGUCUCAGCUUCCUGGUGAGGAGGUGUGCUUCACGGCCACUUAGUCACCGUGGUUACUUUGAAAAAAUUAGAGUGUUCAAAGCGGGCUUACGCUUGAAUAUAUUAGCAUGGAAUAACACCAUAGGACUCCUGUCCUAUUUCGUUGGUCUCGGGACGGGAGUAAUGAUUAAGAGGAACAGUUGGGGGCAUUCGUAUUUCAUUGUCAGAGGUGAAAUUCUUGGAUUUAUGAAAGACGAGCUUCUGCGAAAGCAUUUGCCAAGGAUGUUUUCAUUGA